CUUUUGAUAAAUAAAUUAUGUUUCGUUCUUUUAAAAUUCACAACUUAUUGAUUGAUUCUUGGCGAAUGGUGAUGUUCACUUUAAACAAAUCCAAGUUUUGUCCCAAAAUCUAAGAUGUGUUUUGUGGGGGGUUUAAUUUUCAAUACAAAUAGUUUUCCAAAGUAUGAGGUAAGCCAUUGUGAUAAUGGAGUUGAUGCUUGCUGGUUGUCCUCAUAAGUUGGUGGCUUUCAUGUGCUGUGGAAGGUAAGCCAUAGUUUAUAUUUCUAGUUUAUUAUCUUUGCUUUUAGGGUUAGUUUUAAAGUGAUAAGUGGUCAGUAUAGUCUUCGAAUGGAGAAAUUUGCAGUCUAAAUAAUGUGAUCAAUUACCAACGGGAAACAGUUGCCCUUAGAAAGGAGUAAGGUUACUGAAGUCUGGAUUCCUUGGGAUUUUAAAACUGGUUUCUAUGUUGUUUCUCUCUUCAUUUCUUUUAGGGAUGACCAAAAUUCUGAUACAUUCAUAGCUUGAGAUGACUGAGAUUGGCUCUCAUGUCCAUAAGGUUCUAAUAUAACACGUGAUAUUGGUAUGCUGUGUGGUACAAAGUGCAAUUGAUACUUCAAGGAAAAUGCGAGGUUGAUGUCUAGAUCUCAUAAGCUGGAUUAAUACGUGGCCUGUUAACUGCCCCGAGUUUUGCAGCUUAAAGUUGGUUGGUUUCAUAAUUGUUAGAUUUUGCAAUUCACGUUGUGCAUGUUGAUGUUAAGUUUCUGGAGGAGUACGGGUUCCAACAGAGACCUAAGAAAAUAGUGAGAACUGAGAAAACAUGUAUGCUCCGGAAGCUUUGUCAACAUGGAGACUGAGAGUUGUGUUAGGUAUAUUGGUUACCUACAUGAAAAAUCCUUUGGAUAAGCACAAACAUCAGGCACACUCACAGUUGAAGUUUGUGGAUACAAGAUUACAAUAUGUACUCUGCUGAAACUCUUGUUUGAGUUUAUCUAACUGCGAGUUGUUAGCUGUGUUUAUGCAAAAAUUUAUCAUUCUUUGGCUCGUGGGCAUGUUUGAAAUCCCAAAUGGGACAAUGUCCAUGUAAAGGAGAAGGAAAGAGUUUAUGAAGUGUAACUGUGAUUUUCUUUUAUUCUUUGUUAUUCGAAUUUUUUUGCCAUGGGAGAAUAAUUGUCCCAUCCCCAUUUUCCGGGCACCAUUCUUCAUCUCUAUAUUAAUAAUUUAUAUGGAAAUUCUAAUGAAAAAUAAAAAGAA
RNAcentral lists this long non-coding RNA (1230 nucleotides) under Arachis ipaensis. RNAcentral's name for it is "long non-coding RNA (AIPA_LNC001525)". The record is from RNAcentral. Lineage: Eukaryota; Viridiplantae; Streptophyta; Magnoliopsida; Fabales; Fabaceae.